RNAcentral lists this ribosomal RNA (486 nucleotides) under Triticum aestivum (bread wheat). Its description in RNAcentral is "partial small subunit ribosomal RNA". The record is from RNAcentral. Lineage: Eukaryota; Viridiplantae; Streptophyta; Magnoliopsida; Poales; Poaceae.
AUGUUGCUCUCUUCACUCAUCUUCUCGAAUGGAGGAUCAUGUUCUUUUCAUGCUUAUCCAUUCAACCGGAAUGUUGUGUCAUCUCUUCAAGUUCUUUUCAUCUUAUCAAGUCUUGCAUCUCUUUUCAACCGGAGUGCUGUCCGAAUUUGUUCUUCCUUGUUCCUUGUUUAUCUCGUUUCAACCAGAGCGGGUUCAAUUCCUUCUUCUUCAUUGAACUCGUCAUUCAUAGCUUUGCAACCUCUAAGGUUCAAAUGGCGUUCCUUGUUUCUAUUUGUUCUACCGCAGCGCUCUCAAUUGUGUUCAACUCUGCUGUGUUCUUUCUUUCAACUUUUAAAUCUCUCAAGGUUCUUUGGUUUCACUCUUUUGUCGAAGAAGCAACUUAGUUUUACCCAAGGUUGUCAGAAUCGUGAUUUUGAAUCGGAUCGGAGCUCCAAUGGUAGGAUCGAAAAUCGUAGAAUCUUCACUAUCAGGAUCAUAGAAACGUAG